GCAAGACCACCUCCAGAUGUGGUCUGGUUGAAUCGAACGCAUUCGGAUCACUAUGUGCACUGCACGCAUUUACACCUUACAUUAACAUGUCUUUUUCCUGAUCUAGAGCUGCCCGUCCUUAUUUCGUGUCCUGCAGGACAGAAGAGCAGGCGGUGAUGGAAUUGAAGGGGACUUCAUCACGGUGCUUACACCUUUCACAUCCCCUCACAUCAUUAAAUGAAAAAUGAAUGGGUGCACUUA
Long non-coding RNA from Micropterus dolomieu (smallmouth bass), 240 nucleotides. RefSeq lists it as uncharacterized. The record is from RefSeq and is a predicted model, not a curated record. The transcript is spliced from 2 exons. Lineage: Eukaryota; Metazoa; Chordata; Actinopteri; Centrarchiformes; Centrarchidae.